GUUUGUAGCUCAGUGGCAGAGUGCUUGCUUAGCAUGUAUGAGGCACUGGGUUCAAUUCUCAGCACAACA
RNAcentral lists this transfer RNA (69 nucleotides) under Ictidomys tridecemlineatus (thirteen-lined ground squirrel). Its description in RNAcentral is "Spermophilus tridecemlineatus (thirteen-lined ground squirrel) tRNA". It matches the Rfam family "tRNA". Rfam says of the family: Transfer RNA (tRNA) molecules are approximately 80 nucleotides in length. Their secondary structure includes four short double-helical elements and three loops (D, anti-codon, and T loops). Further hydrogen bonds mediate the characteristic L-shaped molecular structure. tRNAs have two regions of fundamental functional importance: the anti-codon, which is responsible for specific mRNA codon recognition, and the 3' end, to which the tRNAs corresponding amino acid is attached (by aminoacyl-tRNA synthetases). tRNAs cope with the degeneracy of the genetic code in two manners: having more than one tRNA (with a specific anti-codon) for a particular amino acid; and 'wobble' base-pairing, i.e. permitting non-standard base-pairing at the 3rd anti-codon position. Lineage: Eukaryota; Metazoa; Chordata; Mammalia; Rodentia; Sciuridae. The record is from Rfam by way of RNAcentral.